UUACUCCACAGCCUCGGAUACAGGGCUCAGUUUCUUGGCUUGGUGGAGACGGAUAUGAAUCAAAAUGUGUGGAAGAACUGGGCUCCCCCAAAGUUUAAAUUUUUCGCUUGGCUUGUUAUCAACAAUAGAAUUUGGACGGUUGACAGACUACACCGCCGUGGGUGGCAGAGUUGCAAUCUCUACCCGCUUUGCCAACAAGUCCAGGAAUCGGCGGCACAUCUCCUUUUCCAAUGUCGGUACACCAUUCGAGUUUGGGGCAUGAUCAAAUCCUGGCUUGCUCUUCAUGAUUUACAGCCCGACGAGUGGGUUGUUCUGGACUCAGUUAAGGAUUGGUGGAGUCGGAAUGCCACAAAGCAGACUCCGUCGAGAAGGCUGCUUGUCUCAUUGAUGAUGCUCAUCUCUUGGGAAAUUUGAAAGGAACGUAACACGAGAGUUUUUCGCAAAACUGCAGUUCCGAUGGGAGUGUUGGUCGCCAAGGUCAAAGAGGAGUGCUCGCUUUGGAGCUUCGCGGGAGCAAAAUAUUUGAGUAACAUUAUGCCGCGAGAAUAA
This 549-nucleotide ribosomal RNA is filed under the name Triticum aestivum (bread wheat). RNAcentral's name for it is "partial small subunit ribosomal RNA". The record is from RNAcentral. Lineage: Eukaryota; Viridiplantae; Streptophyta; Magnoliopsida; Poales; Poaceae.